GGACUAUUGGCUCAGUUGGUCAGGGUUUAAUCCUGAUAAAGCCAAGGUUGUGGGUUUGAUUCCUGUAUGGGCCG
Lamprotornis superbus is the source of this 74-nucleotide non-coding RNA. Lineage: Eukaryota; Metazoa; Chordata; Aves; Passeriformes; Sturnidae. The record is from the annotation of a GenBank genome assembly.